This 497-nucleotide ribosomal RNA is filed under the name uncultured bacterium. RNAcentral's name for it is "partial 16S ribosomal RNA". It matches the Rfam family "Bacterial small subunit ribosomal RNA", at positions 28 to 507 of the family's 1533-position model. The record is from RNAcentral.
GAUGAACGCUGGCGGCGUGCCUAAUACAUGCAAGUCGAGCGAACGGACGAGAAGCUUUCUUCUCUGAUGUUAGCGGCGGACGGGUGAGUAACACGUGGAUAACCUACCUAUAAGACUGGGGUAACUUCGGGAAACCUGAGCUAAUACCGGAUAAUAUUUUGAACCGCAUGGUUCAACAGUGAAAGACGGUCUUGCUGUCACUUAUAGAUGGAUCCGCGCUGCAUUAGCUAGUUGGUAAGGUAACGGCUUACCAAGGCAACGAUGCAUAGCCGACCUGAGAGGGUGAUCGGCCACACUGGAACUGAGACACGGUCCAGACUCCUACGGGAGGCAGCAGUAGGGAAUCUUCCGCAAUGGGCGAAAGCCUGACGGAGCAACGCCGCGUGAGUGAUGAAGGUCUUCGGAUCGUAAAACUCUGUUAGUAGGGAAGAACAUAUGUGUAAGUAACUGUGCACAUCUUGACGGUACCUAAUCAGAAAGCCACGGCUAACUACGUG